RNAcentral lists this ribosomal RNA (497 nucleotides) under uncultured bacterium. Its description in RNAcentral is "partial 16S ribosomal RNA". It matches the Rfam family "Bacterial small subunit ribosomal RNA", at positions 28 to 507 of the family's 1533-position model. The record is from RNAcentral.
GAUGAACGCUGGCGGCGUGCCUAAUACAUGCAAGUCGAGCGAACAGAUGAGGAUCUUGCUCCGCUGACGUGAGCGGCGGGCAGGUGAGUAACACUGGGAGAACCUACCUAUAAGACUGGGAUAACUUCUAGAAACCAGAGCGAAGACCGGAUGAUAUAUUGAACCCCAGGGGUCAAUAGUGAAAGACGAUUUUGCUGUCACGGAUAGAGGUAUCCGCGCCGCUGUACAGAAUUGGGAAGGUAACGACUUACCAAGGCAACGAUGCGUAGCCGACCUGAGGGAUGGUUCGUACGCACUGGAACUGGGACACGGUCCAGACUCCUACGGGAGGCAGCAGUAGGGAAUUUCCCGCAACGGGAGAAAGCAAUACGGAGCAACGCCGCGUGAGUUAUGAGGGCCUUGGGAUCGUAAAACUCUGUUACUAGGGAAGAACAACUGCGUAAGUAACUAUGCACGCAUUGACGGUACCUAAUCAGAAAGCAACGGCUAACUACGUG